RNAcentral lists this ribosomal RNA (517 nucleotides) under uncultured bacterium. RNAcentral's name for it is "bacterial SSU rRNA". It matches the Rfam family "Bacterial small subunit ribosomal RNA", at positions 375 to 883 of the family's 1533-position model. The record is from RNAcentral.
ACGAAAGUCUGACGGAGCAACGCCGCGUGAGUGAAGAAGGUUUUCGGAUCGUAAAGCUCUGUCUUUGAGGACGAAUGUGUCUAAUGUGAAUAAUGUUAGAUAAUGACGGUACUCGAGGAGGAAGCCACGGCUAACUACGUGCCAGCAGCCGCGGUAAUACGUAGGUGGCAAGCGUUGUCCGGAAUUAUUGGGCGUAAAGCGCGCGCAGGCGGGAUAUUAAGUCUGUUUUAAAAGUUCGGGGCUCAACCCCGUGAUGGAAUGGAAACUAAUAUUCUUGAGUGCAGGAGAGGAAAGUGGAAUUCCCAGUGUAGCGGUGAAAUGCGUAGAUAUUGGGAGGAACACCAGUGGCGAAGGCGACUUUCUGGACUGUGUCUGACGCUGAGGCGCGAAAGCCAGGGGAGUGAACGGGAUUAGAUACCCCGGUAAUCCUGGCCGUAAACGAUGGGUACUAGGUGUAGGAGGUAUCGACCCCUUCUGUGCCGGAGUUAACGCAAUAAGUACCCCGCCUGGGGAGUAC